Molecule: RNA transcript, 1109 nt
Organism: Camponotus floridanus (Florida carpenter ant)
Lineage: Eukaryota; Metazoa; Arthropoda; Insecta; Hymenoptera; Formicidae
Gene: SC35
Gene name: serine/arginine-rich splicing factor 2
Exons: 5
Source: RefSeq, a predicted model, not a curated record
GUCUCUUCCAUUCCGAAGAGUGAAUCAAAGCGUUCGCCAUCUUCUUGUUGCUGGUCCUCGGAGGCUUGGAAUUUUGUGGUCUUUGGAUAAAAUAAUUGACUUGGCAAAAUUCGUCAGUUAAAAAUCUUGCCUGCUCAAUCGUAAGAAGCAAAUUCGUGAAGAUGAGUUAUGGUAGACCUCCGCCUCGUAUCGAUGGGAUGGUCUCUCUGAAAGUCGACAAUCUUACAUAUAGGACAACGCCGGAGGAUCUUAGACGCGUGUUCGAGCGUUGUGGUGAAGUCGGCGAUAUUUACAUCCCUCGCGAUCGCUUCACGCGCGAAAGUCGAGGCUUCGCGUUUGUCAGAUUCUAUGAUAAGCGUGAUGCAGAAGAUGCAUUAGAUGCCAUGGAUGGAAGGCUGUUGGAUGGCAGGGAACUCCGAGUUCAAAUGGCACGAUAUGGACGCCCAACAUCUCCUCAUCGAAGCCGCGGAAGUCGUCGUCGUGGACGAUCACGCAGUAGAAGUAGGGAUCGUAGGCGUUCUCGAUCUCGAUCCCGCAGUAGAUCGCGUAGCCGUGAUAGAGAUCGUAGGCGCUCUUAUACCCGCAGUCGUAGUCGCUCUCGUUCUGAUAGCAAAAGCUCGCGCGGAAAGUCACGCUCACGCAGCAAGUCCCAGGACAGGCAAAAGGAUAGCCGUUCCAAAUCUAGGGACUGAGCUUGUCAAAGAAUAUGCAAGAGGAUGACAUUGAGUGUGUGCGCAUCCAACGAGUGCCGAAUAAUCUAUGUUGAGAUUGCAAAAGGCGGUGGAAAGGAGUGGCGUGGCGCGGGUGUAGCCGAUGAUGGGGUAGCUGAGAGUAAGCAGUAAGCCGAGUAGCAGGGGGCUGUAAGCAGUUUGCAGUAGCGAGAAAGAGAGAGCGGUGUUGGUGCGGUGCGGUGCGGUGCGGUGCGUUGCGGUGUGAAGCGAUCCGAAGCGGUCUGUUCCGGUCCGGUGCGCUCCGAUAAUCGAGUGGUUCGUUCAAAGCGGGUUUGCGAAAAAUCAGGCCAAAAAUGAAGGGAAUACACACGCACACGCACGCACAUACAUGCAUACAUAUAUACAUACAUACAUACAUACAUACAUACAUACAUACAU